This 433-nucleotide ribosomal RNA is filed under the name uncultured bacterium. RNAcentral's name for it is "partial 16S ribosomal RNA". It matches the Rfam family "Bacterial small subunit ribosomal RNA", at positions 29 to 507 of the family's 1533-position model. The record is from RNAcentral.
AACGAACGCUGGCGGCAUGCCUAACACAUGCAAGUCGAACGAGACCUUCGGGUAUAGUGGCGCACGGGUGCGUAACGCGUGGGAACCUGCCCUUAGGUUCGGAAUAACUCCCCGAAAGGGGUGCUAAUACCGGAUAAUGUCUUCGGACCAAAGAUUUAUCGCCUUUGGAUGGGCCCGCGUUGGAUUAGCUAGUUGGUAGGGUAAAAGCCUACCAAGGCGACGAUCCAUAGCUGGUCUGAGAGGAUGAUCAGCCACACUGGGACUGAGACACGGCCCAGACUCCUACGGGAGGAAGCAGUGGGGAAUAUUGGACAAUGGGCGAAAGCCUGAGCCAGCAAUGCCGCGUGAGUGAUGAAGGCCUUAGGGUUGUAAAGCUCUUUUACCCGGGAUGAUAAUGACAGUACCGGGAGAAUAAGCGCCGGCUAACUCCGUG